AGAGUUUGAUCCUGGCUCAGAACGAACGCUGGCGGCAGGCCUAACACAUGCAAGUCGAACGCUCGUAGCAAUACGGGAGUGGCGCACGGGUGAGUAACGCGUGGGCACCUACCCGGUGGUCCGGGAUAACCGCGGGAAACUGCGGCUAAUACCGAAUACGCCCUUAGGGGGAAAGAUUUAUCGCCAUCGGAUGGGCCCGCGUCGGAUUAGCUAGUUGGUGUGGUAACGGCGCACCAAGGCGACGAUCCGUAGCUGGUCUGAGAGGAUGAUCAGCCACACUGGGACUGAGACACGGCCCAGACUCCUACGGGAGGCAGCAGUGGGGAAUAUUGGACAAUGGGGGCAACCCUGAUCCAGCCAUGCCGCGUGAGUGAUGAAGGCCUUCGGGUUGUAAAGCUCUUUUGGCGGGGACGAUGAUGACGGUACCCGCAGAAUAAGCCCCGGCUAACUUC
RNAcentral lists this ribosomal RNA (452 nucleotides) under uncultured bacterium. RNAcentral's name for it is "bacterial SSU rRNA". It matches the Rfam family "Bacterial small subunit ribosomal RNA", at positions 8 to 504 of the family's 1533-position model. The record is from RNAcentral.